GUUGUGCCAUAAACCGCGCACGGUGUGUACGCGAGUGCCAGCGUAGGCCGUCAGUCUUUCAGCGGCCGUGAGAGCGGGUGCACGAGUCGCUCCGUUUUCUUCACAGAAAAUGUGAAGCUGCAUUAGUUUCUGGUGAAACGCUCUUGUGUUGAUAACCAGAAAUCCAAGUGACUUCGCGCGAGACAAAAGGAAAAUAGUCGACUAGAGUAAACAAGAGAAAAUCCAGUGAAUUACUUUAGGGAAAGUAGAGAUCACACGCAUUGCCAAACAAAACGGAUAUGGAAAGAAAGACAAAAUAGAAUAAGUCAGAGAGAGCGAGAGAAGCAAAGAAAACCAAGGAAACAAUCCAACCGAUUACCUCAAACCGUCCCUAAAGAAAAGAAAAGUAUCAUACAUAAAAAAAGAACCAAAAAAAAGUUAAAAGUUAACAAACCCCCCAAAAAAAAGUUAACAAACCCAAGACGAAAUAAAAAGGGGAAAAAAGGCGGGAAAAGUCUCCGAGGCGAGCGGUCGCUUUGCCUCGCCGUCCGCCAAUGGGUUGCCAAAUCACCAAAUCCUCCAAGAGCAAGGAAGACAAUGAGGGAAUCCCCGACAUCCCCGAGCCCCCGCCCCCCGACCCGCGCCUCCCCUUGACGGCCAAGCAAAAGUUCAACAUCAUCAAAUCCUGGAAGGGCAUCGCCAGAGCCAUCGAGCCCACGGGCGUCUACAUGUUUGUCAAGUGAGUUCCUCGUGAGGUCCGCGUCGUGUCUUUGAUGGAAGCUGCUCAGUGUUGUAAGUGUAAAAGAAACCUGCUUUUAUUUUUUUUUUACACAUUUAGAUACACGCACAUAUAAACAUACAAGCACACGAGCA
Molecule: long non-coding RNA, 852 nt
Filed under: Penaeus japonicus
Lineage: Eukaryota; Metazoa; Arthropoda; Malacostraca; Decapoda; Penaeidae
Description: uncharacterized LOC122267793
Source: RNAcentral